RNAcentral lists this long non-coding RNA (488 nucleotides) under Phasianus colchicus (ring-necked pheasant). RNAcentral describes it as "lncRNA (ENSPCLG00000003091.1)". The record is from RNAcentral. Lineage: Eukaryota; Metazoa; Chordata; Aves; Galliformes; Phasianidae.
GCACACUGCUAAAGUGUAACAGCAGAGUGCUUACAGGAGUUUGCAGAAUUUUGAGAGGGUAUGGUACAGAGCCUACUUCCAAAAGGAAGAAGAGACUAUGAUGGACUAGUUGUCUAUCUUGGCUCCUAAUGUACACAGAUGGACUCUCAUCUAACUCUUCACAGUAAAAUAAUAUUUUCCUGGAAUUGGCAAGCUAAUAUAGAACCUAAUAAGAAAGUGUACCAGAUGCUUGAUGACUUUUCCAAUGUAUCAGAGAUACACAAAGCAUAUUUUAAGCACAAUCUCAGCCUCGUGCCCAACAGAAAUUUGCAAUCAGAUUUCAUGACACCAGAAUUCAACACCAAAAGAAAAAAAAACUAUGAGUUUGUGAAAUUCUGAAGCUACAGGACGUGUGAAGGAACAUCUAACUGGAUCCUGGGCAGAAAUGCAGUAUUUUAAAAGAAAAUGCAAAGGCUGUUGCUGUAAUAAAUGCACUACUCGCCCAGCCA